AACGAGCGACGCCGCGUGCGGGAAGAAGGCCCUUGGGUCGUAAACCGCUUUUCUUAGGGAAGAAUGUAAUGACGGUACCUAAGGAAUAAGAGGCUACUAACUCUGUGCCAGCAGUAGCGGUAAUACAGAGGCCUCAAGCGUUAUCCGGAUUUAUUGGGCGUAAAGAGCAUGUAGGCGGAUGUAUUAGUCGGAUGUCAAAUCUUCGAGCUCAACUCGAAAACUGCAUUCGAAACGGUAUGUCUAGAGACAGUCAGAGAUCAAUGGAACGUAUGGUGUAGCAGUGAAAUGCGUUGAUAUCAUACGGAACACCAAAGGCGAAGGCAUUUGGUUAGGGCUGUUCUGACGCUGAGAUGCGAAAGCGUGGGUAGCGAAUGGGAUUAGAUACCCCAGUAGUCCACGCCGUAAACGAUGCAUACUAGGUAUUAAGAGAAUCGACCCUCUUAGUGUCGUAGCUAACGCGUUAAGUAUGCCGCCUGGGAAGUACGGUCGCAAGACUA
RNAcentral lists this ribosomal RNA (497 nucleotides) under uncultured bacterium. RNAcentral describes it as "bacterial SSU rRNA". It matches the Rfam family "Bacterial small subunit ribosomal RNA", at positions 386 to 896 of the family's 1533-position model. The record is from RNAcentral.